This 697-nucleotide ribosomal RNA is filed under the name uncultured bacterium. RNAcentral describes it as "bacterial SSU rRNA". It matches the Rfam family "Bacterial small subunit ribosomal RNA", at positions 134 to 851 of the family's 1533-position model. The record is from RNAcentral.
UACACACGGAUAACAUACCGAAAGGUAUGCUAAUACGGGAUAAUAUAUUUGAGAGGCAUCUCUUAAAUAUCAAAGGUGAGCCAGUACAGGAUGGACCCGCGUCUGAUUAGCUAGUUGGUAAGGUAACGGCUUACCAAGGCGACGAUCAGUAGCCGACCUGAGAGGGUGAUCGGCCACAUUGGAACUGAGACACGGUCCAAACUCCUACGGGAGGCAGCAGUGGGGAAUAUUGCACAAUGGGCGAAAGCCUGAUGCAGCAACGCCGCGUGAGUGAUGAAGGCCUUCGGGUCGUAAAACUCUGUCCUCAAGGAAGAUAAUGACGGUACUUGAGGAGGAAGCCCCGGCUAACUACGUGCCAGCAGCCGCGGUAAUACGUAGGGGGCUAGCGUUAUCCGGAUUUACUGGGCGUAAAGGGUGCGUAGGCGGUCUUUCAAGUCAGGAGUGAAAGGCUACGGCUCAACCGCAGUAAGCUCUUGAAACUGGGAGACUUGAGUGCAGGAGAGGAGAGUGGAAUUCCUAGUGUAGCGGUGAAAUGCGUAGAUAUUAGGAGGAACACCAGUUGCGAAGGCGGCUCUCUGGACUGUAACUGACGCUGAGGCACGAAAGCGUGGGGAGCAAACAGGAUUAGAUACCCUGGUAGUCCACGCUGUAAACGAUGAGUACUAGGUGUCGGGGGUUACCCCCUUCGGUGCCGCAG